GGAGGAUCCAAGCGUUAUCCGGAUUUAUUGGGUUUAAAGGGUGCGUAGGCGGUUUGAUAAGUUAGAGGUGAAAUACCGGGGCUCAACUCCGGAACUGCCUCUAAUACUGUUGAACUAGAGAGUAGUUGCGGUAGGCGGAAUGUAUGGUGUAGCGGUGAAAUGCUUAGAGAUCAUACAGAACACCGAUUGCGAAGGCAGCUUACCAAACUAUAUCUGACGUUGAGGCACGAAAGCGUGGGGAGCAAACAGGAUUAGAUACCCUGGUAGUCCACGCAGUAAACGAUGAUAACUCGUUGUCGGCAAUACACAGUCGGUGACUAAGCGAAAGCGAUAAGUUAUCCACCUGGGGAGUACGUUCGCAAGAAUGAAACUCAAAGGAAUUGACGGGAACUCAGCAGCCGCGGUAAUACG
This 411-nucleotide ribosomal RNA is filed under the name uncultured bacterium. RNAcentral's name for it is "bacterial SSU rRNA". It matches the Rfam family "Bacterial small subunit ribosomal RNA", at positions 527 to 941 of the family's 1533-position model. The record is from RNAcentral.